Molecule: ribosomal RNA, 431 nt
Filed under: uncultured bacterium
Lineage: Bacteria
Description: partial 16S ribosomal RNA
Rfam family: Bacterial small subunit ribosomal RNA
Source: RNAcentral
CCUACGGGGGGCAGCAGUGAGGAAUAUUGGUCAAUGGACGCAAGUCUGAACCAGCCAUGCCGCGUGCAGGAUGACGGUCUAUGGAUUGUAAACUGCUUUUGCACAGGAAGCGGUACUGUGAGAAUAAGGAUCGGCUAACUCCGUGCCAGCAGCCGCGGUAAUACGGAGGAUCCAAGCGUUAUCCGGAAUCAUUGGGUUUAAAGGGUCCGUAGGCGGUCUUGUAAGUCAGUGGUGAAAGCCCAUCGCUCAACGGUGGAACGGCCAUUGAUACUGCAGGACUUGAAUUAUUGGGAAGUAACUAGAAUAUGUAGUGUAGCGGUGAAAUGCUUAGAGAUUACAUGGAAUACCAAUUGCGAAGGCAGGUUACUACCAUUAUUGACGCUGAUGGACGAAAGCGUGGGUAGCGAACAGGAUUAGAUACCCUUGUAGUC